This 66-nucleotide transfer RNA is filed under the name Berthellina sp. TLT-2006. RNAcentral describes it as "tRNA-Val". Lineage: Eukaryota; Metazoa; Mollusca; Gastropoda; Pleurobranchida; Pleurobranchidae. The record is from RNAcentral.
AGAAAUGAAGAAUUUUAUUGAUUCGUCUCAGUUACAGUGAGAAGAACCAGCUAGUUGGCGUUUUUA